ACCAAAAACAUGGCGAAUACCGGAGUUAGUAGGAUUACGAGCUUGCUCUUAGGAGGUUAGCGCCUUUCGGGUGAGAAACACGUGCGUACCCUGCCCAGAAGACUGGGAUAACUCCGGGAAACCGGGGCUAAUACCGAAUAUUAUUUUCAACCGCAUGGUUCGAAAUUGAGAGGCGGCUUCGGCUGUCACUUAGGGAUGGACCCGCGUCGCAUUAGCUAGUUGGUGAGGUAACGGCUCACCAAGGCAACGAUGCGUAGCCCACCUGAUAGGGUGAUCGGCCACACUGGUACUGAGACACGGCCCAAACUCCUAGGGGAGGCAGCAGUAGGGAAUCUUCCGGAAUGGACGAAAGUCUGACCGAGCUGCGCCGCGUGAGUGAUGAAGGCUUUCGGGUCUUAAAACUCUUUUGUUAGGGAAGAACAUGUGCUAUUUGAAUAAGCUGGUCUUUGACUGUACCUAACCAAAAAGCCACGGCUAA
Molecule: ribosomal RNA, 478 nt
Filed under: Bacillus cereus
Lineage: Bacteria; Bacillati; Bacillota; Bacilli; Caryophanales; Bacillaceae
Description: bacterial SSU rRNA
Rfam family: Bacterial small subunit ribosomal RNA
Source: RNAcentral